RNAcentral lists this non-coding RNA (29 nucleotides) under Homo sapiens (human). The record is from RNAcentral. Lineage: Eukaryota; Metazoa; Chordata; Mammalia; Primates; Hominidae.
UCCAGACACAUCUGAACAUCUGAAGGAAC